ACUGAGCUCGGGUGCUGAGAACAUCAUACACGUCCCCGCUUUGCAGAUGAGGACGUUGGAAAUCAGAUACAAGUUAAGCGGCUGGUACAGUCACACAAAUUCCAAGAUGUGAGACUUCAGGAGGAUUCCUUGUCCUGGGGAGCCUGCCGUAUACUAAGUUUUUCCAGGGUACAGAAAGGGACAACAAAAAAAGAAAAGGAGGGAACUCACUUGGAGGAAAACCACUUCAGGAGAAAAGUGCAUGUAUUUCUGCAAAAAAAAAAGUUUGUUUAUUAAAAGAACCACCAUUGCUCUUGUGACCUUUUCCUGAGCCUGUGUUUGCAUUGGUUAACCUUGCUGUGCUCUGUUUCAUCUUUAGCCCAUCUUCUGGGAAUUCUGUUGGGUCAUCACAUACCAUAGCCCUGAAAACUCCCACUACAGCUGUGACCGCACAACAUUGUAAAGGCUGUCCUGCUGCCGUAUUAGUCAAGGCAAGCUGACCUCCACAGCUAACAAUGCCAGACUUGCAGGGGCAACACAGUAGAAAUGUGUUACUUGAUCACAUCCUGGGCCAAUGCAGGCAGGUAUUCCUCCUCCAGGUGGUGAUUCAGGGACCCAGCCUCCUACCUUUUCGGCAUCUG
This is a non-coding RNA of Manis javanica (Malayan pangolin), 620 nucleotides long. The record is from RefSeq and is a predicted model, not a curated record. NCBI's taxonomy places the organism in Eukaryota, Metazoa, Chordata, Mammalia, Pholidota, Manidae.